AUCUACAACCAUACCACGUUGAAAAUACCACCUCUCGUCCUACCCUGAAGGUAAGCAACGUCGGCCCGAGUCAGUACCUCGGUGGGAGACCACUAGGUAACACUUGGUGUCGUAGAAA
RNAcentral lists this ribosomal RNA (118 nucleotides) under Leptotrombidium deliense. The record is from RNAcentral. Lineage: Eukaryota; Metazoa; Arthropoda; Arachnida; Trombidiformes; Trombiculidae.